UUUUUAAUGGCGUCCUGUUGAGAGAAGAAUGUGAAACAGCAUUGGAAGGAACGUCGAGGUCAUCUCCUUGUCCUCCUACGCCGAUGAAAGAAUCUUUCUUCACAAGAUCUGUAGGUAAAGGAGGCUUUACGUGUUAUCGAUGCUCACUACUCCACGCCCCAGGAUGCAGGGGGUCAGAAUCAGACGUGCUGGGUUGACAGCAACACAAAGUCUACCACCCAGUCAACUUCCAAACCCCUGCCUUGAUUAGAUGAAAAGAUGACAUCAGUAUUCGCAGUAAACAGCUUUCUGCUGGACGCAGUCAGCGCACGGGGAGAAAUCUGGCAUCGCUUAAUUAUCAGCCGUCGUCUUCCGCGGACUGAAGCCAAACAGGCAUCGCUCUAGCCUCACCUCCUACACAUGCCAGGAAAACUUGAAAUUCGGAGUGAAAUAGUUAUUCAGCCUCCACCAUGUCUUCCUUCACAGCAUGCCACGUACACUCCUUUUUCUGAAGAUGUGUGCAGUGGUCUCUUUCAAGCACAGUCUUCCUGCCAUAACGGCUAACCUUCUGAUUUCCGAGUCGCCCCUGCUCCUUUCCAUGGGGCCUCUGUGGUCCCCAGGCAUGGUCAAUGCCAAGAGUCUGUGCAAAGCGACACUCAUCAUCCAUCUUCUUGAGAAGUAGAAUCACUGUGUAUUAUUUUCAAUUAAACAUGUUUAGCUCAUUGCUAUAUGAUUACUGCAAAACACAAUACUUAAUGCAAAACUAAAGUGUCUACACUACACUACAACUCUGAUCAAAUCUACAGCUAUUUGACUUACAGCAUAUGGUCAGUAAGGAAAAAGCUAUAAAAGAGCAUCCAGACUAUGUACGUUCUUCCCAUGUCCAGUCACUGGCCCCACCGACAGGGAGCCUGGUGGCCGUGUGACACCUCGCUGGUCUACGAAAUGCAUGGCAGGAGCAUAAGGUGGAGUUUGGCUUCCACCAUCAGAAAAGCUUAGCUGCCCCCUAACUGCCUGUGUCCAGGCUCACCGGUCUACAGGGGACAGUGCGUGCUGCCCCUCCGACGGGGGCACCGAUCCAUUCCAUCCAGCAAAUGCAGGAGCAAUUUAUCCCAGCUCGUUGCUCGGAUUUAGAAACAUCUUAAAGUAAGAAUUCCGUUCAACGGUGCUGUGACAGUCAAGACCAUGGAAGGGACUAGAAAUGCAAAGCGAAGUUUUGCCAAAUUCAUCCGUGUGAACAGAAUUCAACGAUUAAUAAUUAUAUUUCAUUAAGGAUAAAUAGUCUGAGAUAUAAUUUAAAUGGAAGGGGCCAUGAAACAACCAAGGGAAAGGGACCUUCGUGGGGACACGGGCAUCCAACCACCCAGAUUUUGUGCAUAUUUUCAAAGAAGCAACUUUUCCCUCUGUUGCUUUUCUGUCAGAGCUUUUCAUUUCUACGCCCAGCGUCGUCUUUUUGUUUUCCUGGGAUUUAUUUUAUUUUUUUCAUGACUAUUUACUUAAUUUAGACAUUUUGCUCAUUAUUUUCAGCUUUACUAUCUCUUAAUAAAAAUUUAUAGGACUAUACAUUUCAUUUAAA
This is a long non-coding RNA of Mustela lutreola (European mink), 1555 nucleotides long. RefSeq lists it as uncharacterized. The record is from RefSeq and is a predicted model, not a curated record. The transcript is spliced from 3 exons. NCBI's taxonomy places the organism in Eukaryota, Metazoa, Chordata, Mammalia, Carnivora, Mustelidae.